Molecule: long non-coding RNA, 127 nt
Organism: Nyctereutes procyonoides (raccoon dog)
Lineage: Eukaryota; Metazoa; Chordata; Mammalia; Carnivora; Canidae
Exons: 2
Source: RefSeq, a predicted model, not a curated record
CUGGUAGCCUUCGACGGGGAUGAGCGCGUCGUGGCGCGGCUCCGGGUGCCCGCUGAUGCCGGGCACCACCGACACGUCCAGCACAGGGCCUCCCUGAGGAGAAGAGGUAAUAAAGAGAGAGAGAGAG